Molecule: ribosomal RNA, 606 nt
Filed under: uncultured bacterium
Lineage: Bacteria
Description: partial 16S ribosomal RNA
Source: RNAcentral
ACGGCUACCUUGUUACGACUUCACCCCAGUUAUCCGUCCCGCCUUCGGCAGCUCCCUCCUCUCGGUUGGGUCACUGACUUCGGGCGUUACUGACUCCCAUGGUGUGACGGGCGGUGUGUACAAGACCCGGGAACGUAUUCACCGCGGCAUUCUGAUCCGCGAUUACUAGCGAUUCCAGCUUCAUGUAGUCGGGUUGCAGACUACAAUCCGAACUGGGACGUUAUUUUUGGGGUUCGCUCCAUGUCGCCAUCUCGCCUCCCUUUGUUUACGCCAUUGUAGCACGUGUGUAGCCCAAAUCAUAAGGGGCAUGAUGAUUUGACGUCGUCCCCGCCUUCCUCCAGGUUGUCCCUGGCAGUCUCCCCAGAGUGCCCGACUCUGCUCGCUGGCUACUGAGGAUAAGGGUUGCGCUCGUUGCGGGACUUAACCCAACAUCUCACGACACGAGCUGACGACAACCAUGCACCACCUGUCUCCCCUGUCCCGUAGGCCUGGCGACUUUGCUCGCCAUCCAGGGGGAUGUCAAGACUUGGUAAGGUUCUUCGCGUUGCUUCGAAUUAAACCACAUGCUCCACCGCUUGUGCGAGUCCCCGUCAAUUCCUUUGAGUU